This is a long non-coding RNA of Octopus sinensis (East Asian common octopus), 100 nucleotides long. RefSeq lists it as uncharacterized. The transcript has 3 exons. NCBI's taxonomy places the organism in Eukaryota, Metazoa, Mollusca, Cephalopoda, Octopoda, Octopodidae. The record is from RefSeq and is a predicted model, not a curated record.
ACCUAAAUUCCAUAUAUAUAAUCACAAAGCCCUAAAUCCUCAGAUCUGUUUGACAACGAAUGCGAGAAAGUUCUCCAAAAAAUGGUCACAGGAUAUUUUU